CUUAAACCAGCGGGAUCUGAUCAAAACCCAUUGGAAAUACACCCCAAUACAGCUGCUUAAACCAGCGGGAUCUGAUCAAAACCCAUUGGAAAUACACCCCAAUACAGCUGCUUAAACCAGCGGGAUCUGAUCAAAACCCAUUGGAAAUACACCCCAAUACAGCUGCUUUAACCAGACGCCGUUCAAUACGAACGAGGAACCAGAAAUGACCGACCACGCACUCUGAAUCUGCAGACGGGUUAAACUGUGUUCCUGAGGCGUCGCUGCAAUGAGAUGCUAUUGGAAGAGAUUUCUGAUGACUUUGGGCUCCCUGUCUCUCUUCCUCCUCCUCCUCCUCCUUGUCAGUCUGAGGACUGAGGAAGACAGCUUUGCCGCUGAGGAGAGCAGGAGAUGGGCCAGAGAGGUGGCCAUGCAACAGAUUUACUCCGAGAGGAACAGGAAGUCCAUUUUUCAGCAGUCGUCCA
Molecule: long non-coding RNA, 464 nt
Organism: Polyodon spathula (Mississippi paddlefish)
Lineage: Eukaryota; Metazoa; Chordata; Actinopteri; Acipenseriformes; Polyodontidae
Exons: 3
Source: RefSeq, a predicted model, not a curated record